CCUACGGGUGGCAGCAGUAGGGAAUCUUCCACAAUGGACGAAAGUCUGAUGGAGCAACGCCGCGUGAGUGAAGAAGGUUUUCGGAUCGUAAAGCUCUGUUGGUAGUGAAGAACGAUAGAGUUAGUAACUGGCCUUUAUUUGACGGUAAUUACUUAGAAAGUCACGGCUAACUACGUGCCAGCAGCCGCGGUAAUACGUAGGUGGCAAGCGUUGUCCGGAUUUAUUGGGCGUAAAGCGAGUGCAGGCGGUUCAAUAAGUCUGAUGUGAAAGCCUUCGGCUCAACCGGGGAAUGGCAUUGGAAACUGUUGGACUUGAGUGCAGAAGAGGAGAGUGGAACUCCAUGUGUAGCGGUGGAAUGCGUAGAUAUAUGGAGGAACACCAGUGGCGAAGGCGGCUCGCUGGGCUGCAACUGACGCUGAGGCUCGAAAGCAUGGGUAGCGAACAGGAUUAGAUACCCGGGUAGUC
RNAcentral lists this ribosomal RNA (465 nucleotides) under uncultured bacterium. RNAcentral's name for it is "partial 16S ribosomal RNA". It matches the Rfam family "Bacterial small subunit ribosomal RNA", at positions 338 to 795 of the family's 1533-position model. The record is from RNAcentral.